RNAcentral lists this ribosomal RNA (502 nucleotides) under uncultured Lachnospiraceae bacterium. RNAcentral's name for it is "partial 16S ribosomal RNA". Lineage: Bacteria; Bacillati; Bacillota; Clostridia; Lachnospirales; Lachnospiraceae. The record is from RNAcentral.
CACGUAGUUAGCCGGGGCUUCUUACUCAGGUACCGUCAUUUAUUCUUCCCUGCUGAUAGGGCUUUACAUAACGAAUUACUUCUUCACUCACGCGGCGUCGCUGCAUCAGGGUUCCCCCCAUUGUGCAAUAUCCCCCACUGCUGCCUCCCGUAGGAGUCUGGGUCGUGUCUCAGUCCCAAUGUGGCCGUCCGCCCUCUCAGGCCGGCUACUGAUCGUCGCUUUGGUAGGCCGUUACCCUGCCAACUGGCUAAUCAGACGCGGGCCCAUCGUAUACCGUCUCGGCUUUUCACACUCCCAGUAUGCACUGCUGUGCGCUUAUGCGGUAUUAGCACCUAUUUCUAAGUGUUAUCCCCCUGUAUACGGUAGGUUGCCCAGCGUUACUCACCCGUCGCCACUAAGAUACAUUUUCUUCAGACGAAUCCUCAUUCCAAUAUAAUCCCCUUCGACUUGCAUGUGUAGGCACGCCGCCAGCGUUCAGUCCUGAGUCCGAGAGUCAAACUUA